UUCCCGUUAAGUGUCAAAUAACGGGUUAUGUGAAAUAUUAAAAUUGGGAAAAGGGAGGAAUGGAAUUGUUGGCAGAGAGUUCUCUAAAAUAUCUUGAGGCUUAACUCAGAGACACUUGUCAGAAAACAUAUUCUGCUUUGGAGAAGCUAUGUUGAUGAUUUUUUCGUCUUUCUGGGGGGGCCAAUCUGACCUCAAUUCAUUAACACACUACAUCCUAGAAUUGCUUCACUGUUGAGACACAAGCGAAUGGCACCCUUCCGUUUUUGGACUUGAGAGAAUCAGAAGAUACUAUCAAAUUCUCUAUCUACAGGAAGCCAACAACAACUGAUCAUGUGAUCCUUUUCUCAUCGAAUCAUCCACUCCAGUGCAAGCUUGUCGCCUUCCGUUCCUUCUGUAGACUAUUGACAACUCCGUUGUCCGCUGAGGACUACGAAACAGAAUACAACAUUAUACUUCAUACUGCAGAUAGCACACAACAAUGGCUUCCCUAUAGACUUGGUCCAAAACACUUUUCACAAGAUUUCCACAAGGUCAUGAUUAGAUAUAACACACAAUUAACCCCUAUAACAAAUGAGAACUUUACUUAGCAGUAUCAAUUAUAUUCCUAAGGUUUCUGAGAGAAUACAAAAUACCUGGAGCAGUUCAAUAUUCAGAUAUCUUUCAAAGAUGAUAACUCUCUUAACUUGAUCUUCACCAGGGGUAAAGAUCCGAUCGAGAAAAUGGGAGUCUAACAGCUAGAUUGUUCAUGUGGAAGUUUAUAAAUAGGCCGAUCCUUCAGAAGCAUUGAAACAAGGAUCGAUGAAUACUUUAGAGCCAUCAGGACCAACAAUCCCAACAAUUCUACUCUCGCAGAACACAUCCUCUCGAAUUCCGGCCACAUUCCUUUGGUAGAGCCACGCAUUCUGUCUCUUCCUUACCACAGAGGUUCAUGUGACUCAUUGGAGAAAAUACAUAAAACAAAGGCAAAACACAACACCCCAAGUAAACUUCUGAAUACCCAGCAGGAUAUCCCUGGACUUCUAAUUUACCCGCACUUGCUCAGCUUUCUCCCAUGAUGAUAACUCAAUUCCUCCCUUUUUCCAAUUUUCAUAUUUCACAUAACCCGUUGUUUGACAUUUAACGGGAACUCAGUCAUUUCUGUGCUUUCUGUUGUUUCUGUACUUCUUUCUGCUCGGCCUGUCUAUCUUCUUUGAUUCCUUAUAAUUGACAUAUUUAUAUUUGCCCUUUCUUGACAAAUAAUUCUGAUUUAAAAUUUUCAACAUAUACCUGAAGGUGAACCUAUUUUUGUGAGGGUCGAAACAUUUGUCGCUAUUUUAAUAAAGAAAAUCUGGAGCAGACAUGAAAACUUCUUUUCCAUUAUCAAACACCUCCAAUGAAUAAGAUGGAUAACAGAUUUGAGAAUUAUAAUGAUACCCAAACCGGGCAAACCCAAAUAACUACCGACCAAUAAGCCUACUCUCAAGUAUGAGCAAGUUGGCGGAAAAAAUUAUACUAGUAAGACUGAAGAAAAUUGUUGACGAAAAGGAAAUAAUCCUAAAAAUUCAGCACGGCUUUAGAAAGGGUACCGCAACCCAACUUGCCAGAAUAAUGGAAACAAUCCUGCAAGAAAAACAAAGAGGAUAUAAAACAGCAGUAGUAUUGAUGGAUAUAUCGAAAGCAUAUCAUGA
Long non-coding RNA from Coccinella septempunctata (seven-spotted ladybird), 1667 nucleotides. RefSeq lists it as uncharacterized. The transcript is spliced from 2 exons. Lineage: Eukaryota; Metazoa; Arthropoda; Insecta; Coleoptera; Coccinellidae. The record is from RefSeq and is a predicted model, not a curated record.